This is a long non-coding RNA of Syngnathus acus (greater pipefish), 385 nucleotides long. RefSeq lists it as uncharacterized. NCBI's taxonomy places the organism in Eukaryota, Metazoa, Chordata, Actinopteri, Syngnathiformes, Syngnathidae. The record is from RefSeq and is a predicted model, not a curated record. The transcript has 2 exons.
GAAAAAAAAAAACUUUCAAACCCUGGCGCUCAACAGAAAAGCAAGAGAGAAACUGCAUAGCAUCUUUGGAAGGCUCGGGUCUCGAACCAGCAUUGCAAUCUUCGGAGGCAAAGGUGUCAUCCCCUCGACCAUUGCCUGUGGUUACAAGUGGAGAGAUUUGCUUCUAUUAUCACAAAUCAUGAAGGUAUCUUCAGGAAAAGUUCAGAGUAUUCUUCAAAUACAAACAUUCAACCCAGUUGUGUAAGAGCUCGAUCGGCCGAAUGAUUAAAGUUUUUACCUUUGGUUCAGGAGAGGCGGGUUCGAAUCUUACAUGUUGCUCUAUUUAUUUGAAAAUGAUGCACAGAGCGGGUCUCGAACCCGAGGCUGCUGGACACCGACCCACGUC